Orbicella faveolata is the source of this 332-nucleotide long non-coding RNA. Lineage: Eukaryota; Metazoa; Cnidaria; Anthozoa; Scleractinia; Merulinidae. The record is from RefSeq and is a predicted model, not a curated record.
UGAUGUAGACUCUGACUGUGCCGGAGACUCUAUUGAGGAGCGUUGUUGCAGCAAUAUUGGAACCUGCCAUGAUAAGAGGGGACUGGACGAGUCUUGUAACUUUGUUAGUAUCCAUGGAUGUGGGUGCAAAGAUGGUCUGUCAUGCCAGGCUGUCUAUUCGGUAGGCUCUCUAGGCGUUUAUUAUCGCUGCCGACCAAUUCCCACUGAGGCCCCAGGCUCCGGUGAUUUCUGAGGCAAUAUCAAUAGCUGUGCCACCAUGAGAUAUACAUUAUAUCAAUUUGCUAAUAACUGACGUUGAAAUAAAUAUUCGAAAAACUUUCUUUGACUGAGAA